CUGGCUCGACACCAUCGAAGCAGUCGAUAGAUGUGUUUGGCAUCAUUCAAAUGAUGGUGAAAAGCACGCGUCGUCGAAGUUCAGGGAAGCAGAGCAUUCAUUUUAUGCUGCUUUCCAUAUUGAAAAACAUGUUUCUAUCACGAAGCAGAUCGCGCGGUGGCGACGAGACUUCGCGACAUUGCGCGGCCGAGAGCCAACGUAUGAUGAUGAGCCUGAGAAGAUACGAAGAUUGGAGCGUGCUCUAGUAAAUUUAGGACAACGGUGCGUCCCUGUCUCGACAAUUUCUUUUCUUGUUUUGUUUUGAAGGAGAUCAAAUAUUUCAGGAUAGCUGAACUGAAGUAAAAUAAAGUUAAUAUCAUCCGCGCAAGGUGCCUCCAUAGCUAGUGACUGACUGAACAGGAAUGUUUGGUUCGCGGGAGGCUGGUUUGGGACGAGUCUCGAGUUUUCAUCGAUGAGCUUCGGUGAAAGAAGGACUAAGAGGGCUACUCACCCAUAGUUUGAAGAUUUUUCAUCCAUACACCGGUCAACUUCGACGUCUACCACCGCGUCUUCAGAACACGCCUUAGCGUAGAUUCUUCGUUCACAAGUGGCGUGCGUGUGAGGACAACGACUACGUGCACGCCAAGCGCAACGAUAAAGACGUCCCGCAGAGCAGUCGUCGUUUUAGGAACGGGAAGGCGUCGCACAGUUUUGUUAGUCA
Molecule: long non-coding RNA, 700 nt
Filed under: Micromonas commoda
Lineage: Eukaryota; Viridiplantae; Chlorophyta; Mamiellophyceae; Mamiellales; Mamiellaceae
Description: long non-coding RNA (MCOM_LNC000059)
Source: RNAcentral